UGUGUGUAACCAGGACCUCAUUG
This 23-nucleotide non-coding RNA is filed under the name Mus musculus (house mouse). The record is from RNAcentral. Lineage: Eukaryota; Metazoa; Chordata; Mammalia; Rodentia; Muridae.